Long non-coding RNA from Sycon ciliatum, 1323 nucleotides. RefSeq lists it as uncharacterized. Lineage: Eukaryota; Metazoa; Porifera; Calcarea; Leucosolenida; Sycettidae. The record is from RefSeq and is a predicted model, not a curated record. The transcript is spliced from 3 exons.
AAAACCACUAGAGGAAACGCAAAAAAGGUAACAAGAUUACAUAACCAAAGGCGAGAAGGCACUGAACGAAGUGUCACGAAUAUUUUUGUUAUAAAAUACGCAGUAAUACAAUCAUGUCAAACAAGUAACGUAGUUGUGUGAUGUCUGCGGCCUUCAUCCUAUUCAUAGCUAUAUGCCUGACGUGUGUCGAAUUGCUUCCGCUCAACGCCCUUCAAGUUCAGGACGGCCGUGAGGCGUUGGGAGCGCAGUCCCUCUAUUGAUGAUAUUGAUGAGCCAUAAGACAGUAGGUAAUACCUUGUUGCAGCCAGGUACACCUUGAUAGUUGCUGCUGACACGGUCUGCGACAGUGAUGUAAUGAACCGGACAAUGUCUCCAUUACUGGUGUACUACAGUACUAGCUGUGCUAGUGUAGCGUGCGUGGUCUAAGGCUAGGAGGCUACUACCCACAGUCAGUCAACUAACGUAUCAGAACUUACUCCGGCACGGCCUGGAGGUUAUCUUAUAUCAAUCGGGGCAAGAAUAAUCAACUACUCUCGACACCGUACCAAGGUGAUCCGAUGGGAACGGGCGGGUUUACUGUCCACACCUGCACAGUGUAAAAAUCCUGUUCCUACGAACCAUUACCUCAUCAGGAACGUGUUGCGCUCAAAACGCCAUACCAACCAAAAUUCAUGGGAACAAAUCUCUCGCCGAAUGGCUCGAGCUGGUCCUAGGAUGUCGAAAUGUUAAACAUCAACACUUCUGCGGAGGCCUUGUUCAAGCCAGAAGCGCACUUCAUUAUUAAAACCUUGAGCAACGAGGAGUUUCAACUCGACAGUGGAGUCCAAGAGGGAAUACUGCUAACCGUAAGCAGUGAUUCCACUGACCAAGGAAAUAUACUCAUCAUGAUGACCAGCGCCGACGCCAAAGCUAAGGGACUCAUUACCUCAUUCAAAUGGGGAAACGUUUCGGGUGAAUAGAAUAUCACUUUGUCAUUCUCUGAAAUAUGGGUACAUGUAUGUCCAUGCUUUUUAUAAGCCCUUGGAGGAUGAAGGCAGUUUCCCAAUCAUAAUGAUAAGAUAACGGAACACAGUGUAUAUUACUCGGUUUUAAUCUAGUUGGUGCCUUCAUCCCAUGGCUAAUUUCACUGACUGGUAACAUGUGAACAGGAUGAAUUACUAUUACUAUCAUUGUAAGUAGUUCAAAGCUCUUGCACUCAUUCCAAAAAAAAUAUUUUUCCGCAGUAUUGCCACUGCAUUUCUAAGCUACAGCAGCGUCAUGGAAACGAAAAAUACCUGUGAUGUGACGAUUGUGAAAUGCGGUGUGGUGAGUGAGUGGACGGAG